GUGAGGAAUUUUCCGCAAUGGGCGAAAGCCUGACGGAGCAAUGCCGCGUGAAGGAUGAAGGCCUAUGGGUUGUAAACUUCUUUUCUCAGAAAAGAAUUAUGACGGUAUCUGAGGAAUAAGCAUCGGCUAACUCUGUGCCAGCAGCCGCGGUAAGACAGAGGAUGCAAGCAUUAUCCGGAAUGAUUGGGCGUAAAGCGUCUGUAGGUUGUUUAAAAAGUAUUCUGUCAAAGAUUAGGGCUUAACCCUAGAUAGGCAGAAUAAACUUUUAAGCUAGAGUUUGGUAGAGGCAGAGGGAAUUCCCGGUGGAGCGGUGAAAUGCGUAGAUAUCGGGAGGAACACCAAAGGCGAAGGCACUCUGCUGGGCCAAUACUAACACUGAGAGACGAAAGCGAGGGGAGCAAAUGGGAUUAGAUACCCUAGUAGUCC
RNAcentral lists this ribosomal RNA (426 nucleotides) under uncultured bacterium. Its description in RNAcentral is "partial 16S ribosomal RNA". It matches the Rfam family "Bacterial small subunit ribosomal RNA", at positions 354 to 796 of the family's 1533-position model. The record is from RNAcentral.